Non-coding RNA from Protopterus annectens (West African lungfish), 1090 nucleotides. Lineage: Eukaryota; Metazoa; Chordata; Ceratodontiformes; Protopteridae. The record is from the annotation of a RefSeq genome assembly.
CCUAGUUUAGGUGUGUGACACUUUGUGUCCACUCACAGUUAAUUGUAUCCAUUUACUGAAAUCAUGUUAGCCGGUAAAUUUUCUAGGGACAGAGUCUGGGUAAGUGACCUGCUCCUGCACACCUUGAUCUCUCAAUGCAAACAAUGUGGAGAAAGCCAAAAGAAAUAAAGUAAUGGGGCAAAAGGCCAAAACCAGGGACAGACUUAAAAUGUUGCUUAUAUAAACUCAUAAUGUUGCUAGAAUAAACGGUGUUGCAUAAAGCUGAUUUUUCUGAAGGAUAUUAAGUCAAAAACUCAAAUGUCUGUCAUUAUUUGCUGGACUGAACUUUCAAUAUAUUUCCAGAAAACCACGUUUUGUAAAGAAGAGACCAAAAUUUGCAAAAAUCUGAACAAUCGGCGAAAUACUGCACAGCUGAGAAACCUUGAUCCGUCGUGUUACAGUACGGAAGUGGGACUAAAACCCAUUAACAAUAUGUGCCUUUGAUCGACUUAUUUUAUGCAAAGCAGAGCAGCCCUUAAGUUUAAAUACCCCCUGCUGUAGUGGAGAGUGACCGAGAUCGGCAGAGCGUUGGAUGCAGAAAUACAAGCAGUUAAAACACAGAUAUGAGGAUGUUAGGAUCUCUGAUUGUUGUUCUGUUUGCACUGCUACAAUGUGUCCGACCCGACAUCGUACUGACCCAGUCUGAGGCCGAAGUCAAACAGCCCGGUCAGUCCGUGACGCUCACGUGCACAGCCAGCGGGUUUGAUGUCAGCACUACGCGGAUGGCUUGGAUACGGCAGGUCCCCGGGAAGGGGCUCGAUUUGCUCAUCAGCUACUAUAUCUCCAGCAGUAGUAACAAUUACUACCACCCUGAUAUCCAGGGCCGGUUCUCUCCAUCCAAGGACAGCUCCAGCUUCUACCUGCAGAUGAAUAAACUGCAGGUGGGGGACACCGCCAUGUAUUACUGUGCGAGACAGUCACGGUGAAAGGAAUGACUAGAUAACGUGUACAAUAACCGUGGGUGUCCACAUCGUGCUGUUCCUGUAUGUGUGAUUAGUGUAACUCUAAAAACUGAUGUCACUGCAAUUAAUACAGUAAAGAAUGCAAUCAA